AAUGAACUUCGUUUGCAGUGGAAAUCCUUUUUGAGGCUUUUUCUACCUCAAAAAGAUUGUAACGUGAGCCCGACCCCAA
RNAcentral lists this small RNA (79 nucleotides) under Flavobacterium succinicans. RNAcentral describes it as "Flavo-1 RNA". The record is from RNAcentral. Lineage: Bacteria; Pseudomonadati; Bacteroidota; Flavobacteriia; Flavobacteriales; Flavobacteriaceae.